RNAcentral lists this unclassified non-coding RNA (299 nucleotides) under uncultured fungus. RNAcentral describes it as "sequence contains ITS2". The stretch from base 1 to 52 matches the Rfam family "5.8S ribosomal RNA", at positions 103 to 154 of the family's 154-position model. The record is from RNAcentral. Lineage: Eukaryota; Fungi.
AACGCACCUUGCGCUCCUUGGUAUUCCGAGGAGCAUGCCUGUUUGAGUGUCAUUAAAUUCUCAACCUCACCGGUUUUCUGAACCGUUCUCCGAGGCUUGGAUGUGGGGGUCUGUGCAGGUCGCCUCAGCGCGGUCUGCUCCCCUGAAAUGCAUUAGCGAGAUUCAUUCUGGACCUCCGUCUAUCGGUGUGAUAAUUAUCUACGUCGUUGACUUGGUUCGGACUCGCUUCUAACCGUCCGCGAGGACAACAUACUUGACAAUUUGACCUCAAAUCAGGUAGGACUACCCGCUGAACUUAA